UAAGACAACCUGAUGUUGUUUAUAUGCUUGACGACAUAAUGAAUUUCACUACAGUAUAUUUUAUGAACACCGCUUCCUGUCUGGGCGUUUGUUCAUAUUUUGAAUUUUUUAGUGACUCCUAAACCCGAAAUCGUGAUACGAGGGAUAGAGAAGUAUGGAAACAGGUACUGUUAAAUGGUUCAAUAAUGCAAAGGGCUUUGGAUUUAUCUGCCCAGCCAGCGGGGGCGAGGAUAUAUUCGCUCACUAUUCAACCAUUCAGAUGGAUGGUUAUAGGACGCUGAAAGCUGGACAAAAAGUGAACUUUAGCGUUCAUCAAGGCCCU
Molecule: small RNA, 322 nt
Filed under: Xenorhabdus thuongxuanensis
Lineage: Bacteria; Pseudomonadati; Pseudomonadota; Gammaproteobacteria; Enterobacterales; Morganellaceae
Description: cspA
Source: RNAcentral